RNAcentral lists this long non-coding RNA (1104 nucleotides) under Zonotrichia albicollis (white-throated sparrow). RNAcentral describes it as "lncRNA (ENSZALG00000016177.1)". The record is from RNAcentral. Lineage: Eukaryota; Metazoa; Chordata; Aves; Passeriformes; Passerellidae.
AUGAUUGUGUGCAUCCUCCAACCAUCACAUCCAUCCUGCAACCGUCAUGGGCAUCCUCCAGCCAUCACAACCAUGCUCCAACCAUCACAUCCAUCCUGCAACCAUCAUAUCCAUCCUCCAAAUAUCACAUCCAUCCUGCAACCAUCAUAUGUGUCCUGCAACCAUCAUGGGCAUCCUCCAACCAUCACAACCAUGCUCCAACCAUCACAUAGAUUCUGCAGUCAUCACAUCCAUCCUGCAAUCAUCACAUCCAUCCUCCAACCAUCACUUGCCUUCUCCAGCCAUCACAUCUAUCCUCCAACCAUCAUAUCCAUCCCGCAACAAUCAUGUGUCCUGCAACCAUUGUGUGUGUUCUGUAAACAUCACGCACAUCCUCCAACUAUCAUGGUCAUCCUGCAACCAUCACAUGCAUCCUCCAACCAUCACAUCCAUCCCACAACCAUUACAUGCACCCUCCAACCAUCACAGACAUCCUCCAACCAUCAUAUCCAUCCCGCAACCAUUACAUGCACCCUCCUGCAACCAUCACAGACAUCCUCCAACUAUCACAUCCAACCUCCAACCAUCACAUUCAUCUUCCAACUAUCACAUCCAACCUCCAACCAUCACAUUCAUCUUCCAACCAUCACAUCCAACCUGCAACCAUCACAUUCAUCCUCCAACCAUCACAUUCAUCCUCCAACCAUCACAGACAUCCUCCAACCAUCACAUCCAUCCUCCCACCAUCGUGUGCAUUCUCCAACCACCCAGGCCUGGCCUAGGGAGAGCACACAAGUCCUGUGCCCUGGAAGGGGGCAGGAGGGGCCCCAAGGAUGGAAGGCUGUCGUUGGCCCUGCACAGUGCACGAGAGGUUUCAUCUUUGUUAAAGCCUCCAGGCAUGCUCUUAAUGUUACCCCUCUAAUAAUAAUAUUUCAUCUGCCUUAUCUGAUUAGGUUAGGCUCAUUUGAUUUUUGCAAAACACCUUUAAUCACCUUGCAAAUUCCCCAUCAUUACAAACAGAACCACCACAAACAUUAUCGGCAAUCUGAGUUUUAUUUUCAGCAAUCUUUUUUUUUUUUCAUGUGCAAGAAAGACAGUUGUAAAAAAAUAAUUUUAAAAAUAUGA